UUGUAUUAGGACUCUGGGUACUACUUUUCUGGAAGGGUGGUUCAGGUUUGGAGUGCAAAUGAAGUAUGGUCUGAGGAACACUGAAGGAGUGGAAGCCACACAGUCGCUGCAGUGUGGGCUGUGAAUUACAGCAUUUGAGGUGAUGCUGCACACCGAAGCCUUGCUGAUCUGCAGCCAUUAGCUACCACCAGCAAAAAGGAGAAGUAAAGAUAAUGAAUAAGCAAGCAGGAUAAAAAGAGGAGCUGCAGAGGAGUCCGCCUCAUUUCACCAGACUUCAUCCAAGGAGGAAUGCAGAAGGAGGCUUGUCGUGCUGCUGAGCCCAUCAAGCUCCCCAGCAAAGCAGAACUACAGACAGAAGUCUCUGGAGCAGAAACUUCAGGUGGACAAGAGCCAAUACGUGGAGCAGGUAUUGUUCUGACCCAGAGACCAUGGCUGUGAAGAUCAAGGAGAAGAAUGACUUAACACAGUGGGAUAGCUAGAAAUCACACAGCUGAGAUGACAAGAAGUCUUCAUGCCAGGACUAGGAAAAGAAAGGAAAGCUGAAGAAAGAAGGUGUGAGAUUGGCCCUGCAGUUGAAAUAAAAUGUCCUUGUAGCAGUCACUGUGCUACAUAAAUAGUAGAAAAGUCUCCUAGUAAAGAUUUCUGCUUAGAAGAAGGUGGAUGCAUCUCCAAGUUCCUUGCUGCUGGAGAUGAGAAGUCAACACAGCUGCAGCCAAAGGACAAAAUCACUCAAGAGAAUAUGAGUUAGUUUGUCUGCAGAUACCACAAGUGGAGACAAACAAGAAUCACAAGGACAAAUAAAAUCUACAGUUUUCACCUCAGGCCAAGUGCCUUAUGAACCCCAAAGGGCUGUUUUCUCCUAAGUAACGGCACAGCAAGGACUAUUGCUGUGCCCUACCCUUCAAUCUCCAUCUCUGCAGUCCUUGAUACACCACGGGACUAAAUGACCUGGGCAAGAAAAGGAACAAAGAGCAAAGCAGGCUCUAUAUAUGGUCACUGCUACAGACUCAUUGCUGGAGAAGACAUCACAAGAGAAACUACUUGGCAUUGAAACUGACCCUGAUUUAAUAACCAGAGCCAGAUUCACCACCAUCUACUAUACCUUAGAGAUAACUGCUGCUGCGCUGUCACAGGCAGAGAUAGUGAGAUCAUGCUGCUCUUC
RNAcentral lists this long non-coding RNA (1162 nucleotides) under Coturnix japonica (Japanese quail). Its description in RNAcentral is "lncRNA (ENSCJPG00005010084.1)". Lineage: Eukaryota; Metazoa; Chordata; Aves; Galliformes; Phasianidae. The record is from RNAcentral.